This 273-nucleotide ribosomal RNA is filed under the name uncultured bacterium. Its description in RNAcentral is "partial 16S ribosomal RNA". It matches the Rfam family "Bacterial small subunit ribosomal RNA", at positions 524 to 796 of the family's 1533-position model. The record is from RNAcentral.
UACGUAGGAGACGAGCGUUAUCCGGAUUUACUGGGUGUAAAGCGCAUGUAGGCGGGUUCUCAAGUCGGGCAUGAAAUCUUUCGGCUUAACCGGGAGGGGUGGUCCGAUACUAGGAGCCUCGAGGGCAGGAGAGGGAAGCGGAAUUCCCGGUGUAGUGGUGGAAUACGUAGAUAUCGGGAGGAACACCAGUGGCGAAGGCGGCUUCCUGGCCUGUGCCUGACGCUGAGAUGCGAAAGCGUGGGUAGCAAACGGGAUUAGAUACCCCUGUAGUCC